CCUAAGGGAUUUACCCCAAAACAAUGCCCCAUGCCCUGCUCUUUACCUCCAAGCCCCGCCCCCUUUCCUCAUCUCCAGGGAGGGACCCCAGAAGCUCAUAUAGGACCUCAAACACCCAAGUCCCCAAGUCCCUGAUUUCCCCCCAUAGAGACCCCAAAAGCCCUGAUCUCCCCCCAUGGUGACCCCAAAACAAAACCCCCAAUAGUACCUCAAACCCCCAUGGUGUGACCCCAAACCCUUGAUCUCUUCCCAUAAAGACCCCAAACCCCCACGGAAGGAGCCCAGAGCUCCCCGAACCCCCUGCAGGACACCAAGCCCUCCCAGAGAAGCCCCUCAGUGCUGAUCCCGAUCUACGGGGUGACCCAAAAUCCCCCUAAUGCCCUUUCCCCCCUUAGUGCCCCCCCGGGCUGGGACAAGUGUGGAGCAGGGCUCUGCUCUGCGGCCGGCGAGGCGCGGGCGCUCCCAGUGGGACAGCAAUCCACGACCAUAAAGGACAAACAGAGACCUUUGAAGGGAUCCAAGGCUCCUGGACAGGAGCUCCGGGAGAUCCCUGGAGGUGGCUGGGCGCAGGAGAAAUAAAAAUGAAUUUUAAAAAUGCCAA
Cyanistes caeruleus (blue tit) is the source of this 601-nucleotide non-coding RNA. NCBI's taxonomy places the organism in Eukaryota, Metazoa, Chordata, Aves, Passeriformes, Paridae. The record is from RefSeq and is a predicted model, not a curated record.